GACGAACGCUGGCGGCGUGCUUAACACAUGCAAGUCGAACGGAAAGGCCCCUUUUGGGGUACUCGAGUGGCGAACGGGUGAGUAACACGUGAGUAACCUGCCCUUGACUUCGGGAUAACUUCAGGAGACUGGGGCUAAUACCGGAUAGGAAUCCUUGCUGCAUGGUGGGGGUUGGAAAGCUUCGGCGGUUUUGGAUGGACUCGCGGCUUAUCAGCUUGUUGGUGGGGUAGUGGCUUACCAAGGCUUUGACGGGUAGCCGGCCUGAGAGGGCGACCGGCCACAUUGGGACUGAGAUACGGCCCAGACACCUACGGGAGGCAGCAGUGGGGAAUAUUGCACAAUGGGCGGAAGCCUGAUGCAGAAACGCCGCGGGCGGGAUGACGGCCUUCGGGUUGUAAAACGCUUUCAGCAGGGGCGAAGCUUGUGGUGACGGUACCUGCAGAAGAAGCACCGGCUAACUACGUG
This 465-nucleotide ribosomal RNA is filed under the name uncultured bacterium. RNAcentral's name for it is "partial 16S ribosomal RNA". It matches the Rfam family "Bacterial small subunit ribosomal RNA", at positions 28 to 507 of the family's 1533-position model. The record is from RNAcentral.